This 262-nucleotide long non-coding RNA is filed under the name Homo sapiens (human). Its description in RNAcentral is "non-protein coding lnc-KRCC1-1:1". The record is from RNAcentral. Lineage: Eukaryota; Metazoa; Chordata; Mammalia; Primates; Hominidae.
GUUGCUUUAGGAUUAGAUUCCAAUUAUAUAUUAUUGGCAGGAGCAUCAUAGAAGUGAUGCUGUGUUCUUCUUGCUAGACUAUCAGGAGGCACACGAUUGCAAUUUGUCCUAUUACUGAUGAUGUUCAUUUUGGUUACUUGAUUAAGGUGGCACCUGCCAGAUUUUUCCACUGUGAAGUGACUUCCUUCUGUAACUGAUGAAUAUUUUGUGAAGAGCUGCUUCGAAAUUACGUAAAUACUUUUGCAAAACAGUUGCAGGUGUG